GAUGAACGCUGGCGGCGUGCCUAAUACAUGCAAGUCGAGCGAACGGACGAGGAGCUUGCUUCUCUGGGGUUAGCGGCGGACGGGUGAGUAACACGUGGAUAACCUACCUAUGAGACUGGGAUAACUUCGGGAAACCGGAGCUAAUACCGGAUAAUAUUUUUAACCGCAUGGUUCAAGAGUGAAAGACGGUCUUGCUGUCACUUAUAAAUGGCUCGCCGCGUAAUUAGUAAUUUGUUAAGGUAACGGCUUACAAGGCGAACGAUGAUUAGCCGCCCUGGGAGGGUGAUCGCCACAAUUGGACCGGAGCACCGCCCCAGCCUCCUCCGGGAGGCACCAGUGGGGAACCUUCGGCGUUGGGCGAAAGCCUGCCGGAGCAACGCGGCGUGAGUGAUGAAGUUCUUCGGAUCGUAAACCUCUUUUAUUAGGGAAGACCAUAUGUGUAAGUAACUGUUCACCUCUUGACGGUACCUACUCAGAAAGCCACGGCUAACUACGUG
RNAcentral lists this ribosomal RNA (497 nucleotides) under uncultured bacterium. Its description in RNAcentral is "partial 16S ribosomal RNA". It matches the Rfam family "Bacterial small subunit ribosomal RNA", at positions 28 to 507 of the family's 1533-position model. The record is from RNAcentral.